UGAGGAAUAUUGGUCAAUGGGCGGAAGCCUGAACCAGCCAAGUCGCGUGAGGGAAGACGGUCCUAUGGAUUGUAAACCUCUUUUGCCGGGGAGCAAAGCCGGGCUCGUGAGCCCGGAAGGAGAGUACCCGGAGAAAAAGCAUCGGCUAACUCCGUGCCAGCAGCCGCGGUAAUACGGAGGAUGCGAGCGUUAUCCGGAUUUAUUGGGUUUAAAGGGUGCGUAGGCGGGAUCUUAAGUCAGCGGUAAAAUGCGGGGCUCAACCCCGUAGUGCCGUUGAAACUGAGGUUCUUGAGUGGGCGAGAAGUAUGCGGAAUGCGUGGUGUAGCGGUGAAAUGCAUAGAUAUCACGCAGAACUCCGAUUGCGAAGGCAGCAUACCGGCGCCCAACUGACGCUGAGGCACGAAACGCGUGGGGAUCGAACAGGAUUAGAUACC
Molecule: ribosomal RNA, 434 nt
Filed under: uncultured bacterium
Lineage: Bacteria
Description: bacterial SSU rRNA
Rfam family: Bacterial small subunit ribosomal RNA
Source: RNAcentral